This 687-nucleotide small RNA is filed under the name Pan troglodytes (chimpanzee). RNAcentral's name for it is "processed transcript". Lineage: Eukaryota; Metazoa; Chordata; Mammalia; Primates; Hominidae. The record is from RNAcentral.
AUCACCCUUUUGAUGCCAGUUCUGUAUUAGCUGUCUAAUGUUAUUUAACAAAUUACCUUAAAUUUUAAUAGCCUCUUAAUAUUUCUUACUAACUUGGCAGGUCAUCAGUCUAUUUAAAAGAUUUGCACAUAUUUUUUCCAUCAUCUUUAGUUAUUUUCAACAGAAGGGUCACUGUGCCUAUUGAGUCAGACCGUUAUAGAUGAAAGAUGUAUGUGUUUACUAAAGACAGAAGUAAAAAUCUUCAAGAUGCAAAGAAGUUAUUUUCUGAUGGGGAAAAUACUUUUUAGUGAAGCUCUCUGAGUUAGAGUCGGUAAAGGAAAACAAGCCAUACAUAUUGCAGCAGAGCGGCUUUAACACAAGGAGCUGGCUACCCAGCUGUGGGAGGGCUAGAAAGCAAAUGGGAACGCUGAGUAACCUAGCAGUAGAGAUUUCAGGGAGCAGUUACCUUGCCUAGGGCUGAGAAACUAAACGAGAAGAUUAGGAUUUCCAGAAGCCACAAGCAUUGAGGAGAGAUCCUGUGGACCACUGUCCAAGUACGGCUGCAGCUCUGAGGGGCCCAAGGAGCUGGUGCCGACUUCUGCUAUGCCAUCGAGGUUUUCAAGCCUAUGGCUGAUGCUGCUGUGAAGAUUGUGGAGAAAAAUGGCUUUAGUGAUAAGAUUAAGGUUAUCAACAAGCAUUCCACCGAGG